This 461-nucleotide ribosomal RNA is filed under the name uncultured bacterium. RNAcentral's name for it is "bacterial SSU rRNA". It matches the Rfam family "Bacterial small subunit ribosomal RNA", at positions 15 to 518 of the family's 1533-position model. The record is from RNAcentral.
GAUUCUGGCUCAGAACGAACGCUGGCGGCAGGCCUAAGUCAUGCAAGUUGAACGGCUGUAGCAAUACAGCAGUAGCGGACGGGUGAGUAAUGUAUGGGAACGUAUCUUCUAGUGGGGAAUAUCUUUGGAAACGAAGAGCAAUACCGCAGUAAGUCCUACGGGAGAAAGUCGCAAGACGCUAGAUGAGCGGCCCAUAUUGGAUUAGCUAGUUGGUUGGUAACGGCUGACCAAGGCAACGAUCCAUAGCUGGUCUAAGAGGACGAUCAGCCACAUUGGGACUGAGACACGGCCCAGACUCCUACGGGAGGCAGCAGUCAGGAAUAUUGGACAAUGGGGGGCAACCCUGAUCCAGCCAAUGCCGCGUGAGUGUUAAGGUCUUCGGAUUGUAAAGCUCUUUUGUGUGGGAAAAUGAUGAUGGUACCACAAGAAUAAGCACCGGCUAACUUCGUGCCAGCAGCAGC